This 460-nucleotide ribosomal RNA is filed under the name uncultured bacterium. RNAcentral describes it as "partial 16S ribosomal RNA". It matches the Rfam family "Bacterial small subunit ribosomal RNA", at positions 338 to 795 of the family's 1533-position model. The record is from RNAcentral.
CCUACGGGCGGCAGCAGUGAGGAAUAUUGGUCAAUGGGCGAGAGCCUGAACCAGCCAAGUAGCGUGAAGGAUGACUGCCCUCCGGGUUGUAAACUUCUUUUAUAAAGGAAUAAAGUGCGGCACGUGUGCCUUUUUGUAUGUACUUUAUGAAUAAGGAUCGGCUAACUCCGUGCCAGCAGCCGCGGUAAUACGGCGGAUCCGGGCGUUAUCCGGAUUUAUUGGGUUUAAAGGGAGCGUAGAUGGGUUGUUAAGUCAGUUGUGAAAGUUUGCGGCUCAACCGUAAAAGUGCAAUUGAUACUGGAAGUCUUGAGUACAGUUGAGGUAGGCGGAAUUCGUGGUGUAGCGGUGAAAUGCUUAGAUAUCACGAAGAACUCCGAUUGCGAAGGCAGCUUACUAAACUGCAACUGACAUUGAUGCUCGAAAGUGUGGGUAUCAAACAGGAUUAGAUACCCCGGUAGUC